Molecule: ribosomal RNA, 465 nt
Filed under: uncultured Pseudomonas sp.
Lineage: Bacteria; Pseudomonadati; Pseudomonadota; Gammaproteobacteria; Pseudomonadales; Pseudomonadaceae
Description: bacterial SSU rRNA
Rfam family: Bacterial small subunit ribosomal RNA
Source: RNAcentral
CCUACGGGAGGCAGCAGUGGGGAAUAUUGGACAAUGGGCGCAAGCCUGAUCCAGCCAUGCCGCGUGUGUGAAGAAGGUCUUCGGAUUGUAAAGCACUUUAAGUUGGGAGGAAGGGUUGUAGCCUAAUACGCUGUAACUUUGACGUUACCGACAGAAUAAGCACCGGCUAACUCUGUGCCAGCAGCCGCGGUAAUACAGAGGGUGCAAGCGUUAAUCGGAAUUACUGGGCGUAAAGCGCGCGUAGGUGGUUCAGUAAGAUGGGUGUGAAAUCCCCGGGCUCAACCUGGGAACUGCUUUCAUAACUGCUGAACUAGAGUACGGUAGAGGGUAGUGGAAUUUCCUGUGUAGCGGUGAAAUGCGUAGAUAUAGGAAGGAACACCAGUGGCGAAGGCGACUACCUGGACUGAUACUGACACUGAGGUGCGAAAGCGUGGGGAGCAAACAGGAUUAGAUACCCCUGUAGUC